Molecule: ribosomal RNA, 465 nt
Filed under: uncultured bacterium
Lineage: Bacteria
Description: partial 16S ribosomal RNA
Rfam family: Bacterial small subunit ribosomal RNA
Source: RNAcentral
CUACGGGUGGCACCAGUGGGGAAAAUUGGACAAUGGGGGAAACCCUGAUCCAGCAAUGCCGCGUGUGUGAAGAAGGCCUGCGGGUUGUAAAGCACUUUCGGUUGGGAGGACUGCUUCUAGCACUAAUAUUGUUGGAAGUUGACGUUACCUUCAGAAGAAGCACCGGCUAACUCCGUGCCAGCAGCCGCGGUAAUACGGAGGGUGCAAGCGUGAAUCGGAAUUACUGGGCGUAAAGCGCGCGUAGGCGGCUAGAUCAGUCGGGUGUGAAAGCCCCGGGCUUAACCUGGGAACUGCAUCCGAUACUGUCUAGCUUGAGUACAGGAGAGGAGAGUGGAAUUCCACAUGUAGCGGUGAAAUGCGUGGAUAUGUGGAGGAACACCAAUGGCGAAGGCAGCUCUCUGGCCUGAUACUGACGCUGAGGUGCGAAAGCGUGGGGAGCAAACAGGAUUAGAUACCCCUGUAGUC